RNAcentral lists this ribosomal RNA (460 nucleotides) under uncultured bacterium. RNAcentral describes it as "partial 16S ribosomal RNA". It matches the Rfam family "Bacterial small subunit ribosomal RNA", at positions 338 to 795 of the family's 1533-position model. The record is from RNAcentral.
CCUACGGGAGGCAGCAGUGAGGAAUAUUGGUCAAUGGGCGCGAGCCUGAACCAGCCAAGUAGCGUGAAGGAUGACUGCCCUACGGGUUGUAAACUUCUUUUAUAAAGGAAUAAAGUGAGGCACGUGUGCCUUUUUGUAUGUACUUUAUGAAUAAGGAUCGGCUAACUCCGUGCCAGCAGCCGCGGUAAUACGGAGGAUCCGAGCGUUAUCCGGAUUUAUUGGGUUUAACGGGAGCGUAGAUGGGUUGUUAAGUCAGUUGUGAAAGUUUGCGGCUCAACCGUAAAAUUGCAAUUGAUACUGGCAGUCUUGAGUACAGUUGAGGUAGGCGGAAUUCGUGGUGUAGCGGUGAAAUGCUUAGAUAUCAGGAGGAACACCAGUUGCGAAGGCGGCCUACUGAACGGCGACUGACGCUGAUGCUCGAAAGCGUGGGUAGCAAACAGGAUUAGAUACCCGGGUAGUC